AAUACAGAUGUUUGCGGUGGGAGUGCCAUUUUAGGCCCGUUUCUUUUUGAAACUGGGCUUGGAAUUGCCAGGGAUCAGCAGAGCUAUGGGCUCACAAAGAGGGCACUGUCUUUGAGGAAUCUUUACAUAAGCCCUGCACAACCAAGGCAACAGGAGUUUGCACAGCUGCUGCUGGAAGCAAACAUGUACUUUUAGCUGACCUGGGCUGAUGACUUUGGGCGUUAAAUCUGACGCUUUCCAGAUGUACAGACCUCUCCUGCCACAGUCCCCAAACAUUCAGUCCCCAGGUGUGGUAUUUAUAAAGGCUCUAAAAUUGGCAGCAAGAGAAAGGCACAUAUUCUUCUGUCCUGGAGACUGCCCCAAAACAGACAGCUGCAGCCCAGCCUCUCCUUAUUUUCCCUGCCAGUUCUCUCAAGCAUGACUGGUUUGAGGACCACCUUCAGUGAGAUCAAAAGGGAACAAUGUGUAGCUGCUGUGAUGUCUCACAGACCUUUAGAGUCUCUGCACCAUGGCAGAUGGAGUCCUCGAGGAAACAGCCUGCAGGAAAGAUGAGACAUCUAAACCACAGCCCACUGAGACUGUGUACUUAUAGGAAAAUGAGGUUUUAAUGGUUUAUUGAACACAUUGAAACCAAAACAUAGUUUCUGAUUUUGUUCCAACUGGCCCUAAAGAAAAUAUUUCUUCUUGACUUUUCUUAAUUGAAAAAAAAGGGGACAUUUUUAUUUCUCUAUUGUGAAAGGAAAGAAGGUUCAGAAUCAGGAUGUUUUUCUCCCUGAAAAUUUCAAUUUUGUGCAAACUGCCUCUUUACUGGGCAGCCUUCCCAAAGGGAAUCCCCAGCCAGCCCCAGUGCUAAUAUCAGUGCACAGUGUUUGGAGCCGAUCCAAAGGUCAUUCACGCCAUUAGACAUUUUUAUCGUGGACUUGAAUAAACUUUGGACCAGGCUCUUUUGGCAAGAGCAUGCACAGUCUGGAAACCUAAAAAUAAAUCCUGAUUUGGAGCCAUCCACAGCUUUUCAGUCACCAUGAUGGUACAUCGGUAUGAGCUUGUCAGAGAGGUGAUGAGGUGAUUUGGUCUCCUCUGUAGCUGGAGAAUCUUUAGCUGCUUGUUGAAAUAAACAAGGGAGAAGAUGGUGUUCCACAAGCUCAAUGUUAAGACCUCUUGAUGAAGAAUUUUCCUGUGAUGCAUCAGCCCUGGAAGGUUGAGAUAGAAGGUGUUGUCUCAAGGGAUGAUCUGGUUUUCUCUUCAAGAAGAUUUUCAGCAUAAUAGCUCCU
Molecule: long non-coding RNA, 1271 nt
Organism: Passer domesticus (house sparrow)
Lineage: Eukaryota; Metazoa; Chordata; Aves; Passeriformes; Passeridae
Exons: 3
Source: RefSeq, a predicted model, not a curated record